This 403-nucleotide ribosomal RNA is filed under the name bacterium. Its description in RNAcentral is "partial 16S ribosomal RNA". It matches the Rfam family "Bacterial small subunit ribosomal RNA", at positions 355 to 776 of the family's 1533-position model. The record is from RNAcentral.
UGGGGAAUAUUGCACAAUGGAGGUAACUCUGAUGCAGCGACGCCGCGUGAACGAAGAAGGCUUUCGCGUCGUAAAGUUCUUUUAUAUGGGAAGAUAAUGACGGUACCAUAAGAAGAAGCCCCGGCUAACUACGUGCCAGCAGCCGCGGUAAUACGUAGGGGGCUAGCGUUGUCCGGAAUCACUGGGCGUAAAGGGUUCGCAGGCGGAAAUGCAAGUCAGGUGUAAAAGGCAGUAGCUUAACUACUGUAAGCAUUUGAAACUGCAUAUCUUGAGAAGAGUAGAGGUAAGUGGAAUUUUUAGUGUAGCGGUGAAAUGCGUAGAUAUUAAAAAGAAUACCGGUGGCGAAGGCGACUUACUGGGCUCAUUCUGACGCUGAGGAACGAAAGCGUGGGUAGCAAACAGG